Long non-coding RNA from Triticum aestivum (bread wheat), 351 nucleotides. RefSeq lists it as uncharacterized. The transcript has 3 exons. Lineage: Eukaryota; Viridiplantae; Streptophyta; Magnoliopsida; Poales; Poaceae. The record is from RefSeq and is a predicted model, not a curated record.
UUUGGGUCCUGAUGAAAGUCACUGUCGGUAGCAGGGAAUUCGUCACCGGAUGCGUCCUAUAUGUGAUGGGUGUGUUCCCAUCCAGUCGUUGGUGGGGUUGAUGUGCCCGUCGAUUCGGCGAUCCGCGGACCAAGCUCAUCUUCUCAGUGGCGGACCGAUGUUCUAUGGUAGUGGCAGUCAUUGUAUGUGGUGGUGCGGUUGCUGAUGUACAGGAGGCGUCCAUAGUGUUAGUUCUCCAUCGUCCAUGCUUAUCUUCUGUAUGCUCUAGCAGCCAGGUGGCUCAAGAAAUAGAAGACGACUCAUGUUCAGGUACGCUUAGAUUUUGAAUGGAGCUGAAGAAAUGAUCUGAAC